This 253-nucleotide ribosomal RNA is filed under the name uncultured bacterium. RNAcentral describes it as "partial 16S ribosomal RNA". It matches the Rfam family "Bacterial small subunit ribosomal RNA", at positions 524 to 776 of the family's 1533-position model. The record is from RNAcentral.
UACGUAGGGUGCAAGCGUUGUUCGGAAUUACUGGGCGUAAAGGGCUCGUAGGCGGCCAACUAAGUCGGAUGUGAAAUCCCCAGGCUCAACCUGGGAACUGCAUCCGAUACUGGAUGGCUUGAAUUCGGGAGAGGGAUGCAGAAUUCCAGGUGUAGCGGUGAAAUGCGUAGAUAUCUGGAGGAAUACCGGUGGCGAAGGCGGCAUCCUGGACCGAGAUUGACGCUGAGGAGCGAAAGCUAGGGGAGCAAACGGG